UGGGGAAUAUUGGACAAUGGGCGCAAGCCUGAUCCAGCAAUGCCGCGUGAGUGAUGAAGGCCCUAGGGUUGUAAAGCUCUUUUACCCGGGAAGAUAAUGACUGUACCGGGAGAAUAAGCCCCGGCUAACUCCGUGCCAGCAGCCGCGGUAAUACGGAGGGGGCUAGCGUUGUUCGGAAUUACUGGGCGUAAAGCGCACGUAGGCGGCUUUGUAAGUCAGAGGUGAAAGCCCUGGAGCUCAACUCCAGAACUGCCUUUGAGACUGCAUCGCUUGAAUCCAGGAGAGGUCAGUGGAAUUCCGAGUGUAGAGGUGAAAUUCGUAGGUAUUCGGAAGAACACCAGUGGCGAAGGCGGCUGACUGGACUGGUAUUGACGCUGAGGUGCGAAAGCGUGGGGGAGCAAACAGGA
This 407-nucleotide ribosomal RNA is filed under the name uncultured bacterium. RNAcentral's name for it is "partial 16S ribosomal RNA". It matches the Rfam family "Bacterial small subunit ribosomal RNA", at positions 355 to 777 of the family's 1533-position model. The record is from RNAcentral.